AGCAAUCCCCCGGUAGGGUGGCGAACGGGUGAGUAAGACAUGGGAAUCUGUCCCGGAGAUGGGGAUAUCCUUCCGAAAGGAGGGUUAAUACCGAAUACCGUCCGGUGGACGAGAGUCCAUCGGGGAAAGGGAGGCCUCUGGCAACAUGCUUCCGCUCCGGGAGGAGCCCAUGGCCCAUCAGCUAGUUGGGAGGGUAACGGCCUACCAAGGCGAAGACGGGUAGCUGGUCUGAGAGGACGAUCAGCCACACUGGCACUGAGACACGGGCCAGACUCCUACGGGAGGCAGCAGUGAGGAAUUUUGCGCAAUGGGGGCAACCCUGACGCAGCAACGCCGCGUGUGGGAAGAAGGCUUUCGGGUUGUAAAUCACUUUUGUAAGGGACGAAGUCCCUUCGGCAAAUAACCGAGGGGGAUGACGGUACCUUGCGAAUAAGCCACGGCUAACUCUGUGCCAGCAGCCGCGGUAAGACAGGGGUGGCAAGCGUUGUUCGGAGUAACUGGGCGUAAAGGGUCUGUAGGUGGUUUUUCAAGUCUUUGGUAAAACGCCGUGGCUCAACCAUGGUUUGGCCAAGGAGACUGGGAGACUCGAGGCUGGGAGAGGGAAGCGGAAUUUCUGGUGUAGCGGUGAAAUGCGUAGAGAUCAGAAAGAAGGCCGGUGGCGAAGGCGGCUUCCUGGAACAGACCUGACACUGAGAGACGAAAGCGUGGGGAGCAAACAGGAUUAGAUACCCUGGUAGUCCACGCCCUAAACGAUGGGAACUAAGUGUGGGGAGCAAUCCCCGUGCCGCAGCUAACGCAAUAAGUUCCCCGCCUGGGGAGUACGGCCGCAAGGUGAAACUCAAAGAAUUGACGGGGCCCGCACAACCGUGGUGCAUGUGGUUAAUUCGACG
RNAcentral lists this ribosomal RNA (890 nucleotides) under bacterium enrichment culture. RNAcentral's name for it is "bacterial SSU rRNA". It matches the Rfam family "Bacterial small subunit ribosomal RNA", at positions 78 to 956 of the family's 1533-position model. The record is from RNAcentral.